GAUGAAGAACGUAGCGAAAUGCGAUAAGUAAUGUGAAUUGCAGAAUUCAGUGAAUCAUCGAAUCUUUGAACGCACAUUGCGCCCCCUGGUAUUCCGGGGGGCAUGCCUGUCCGAGCGUCAUUGCUGCCCUCAAGCACGGCUUGUGUGUUGGGCCUCCGUCCUCCUCCCGGGGGACGGGCCCGAAAGGCAGCGGCGGCACCGCGUCCGGUCCUCGAGCGUAUGGGGCUUCGUCACCCGCUCUUGUAGGCCCGGCCGGCGCUUGCCGACACAUCAAUCUUUUUUCCAGGUUGACCUCGGAUCAGGUAGGGAUACCCGCUGAUCUUAAGCAUAUCAAUAAGCGGAGGA
Molecule: unclassified non-coding RNA, 345 nt
Filed under: soil metagenome
Description: partial contains 5.8S ribosomal RNA, internal transcribed spacer 2, and large subunit ribosomal RNA
Rfam family: 5.8S ribosomal RNA (bases 1-120)
Source: RNAcentral